This 414-nucleotide ribosomal RNA is filed under the name uncultured microorganism. RNAcentral's name for it is "bacterial SSU rRNA". It matches the Rfam family "Archaeal small subunit ribosomal RNA", at positions 459 to 872 of the family's 1478-position model. The record is from RNAcentral.
CAGCCGCCGCGGUAAUACCGGCGGCCCGAGUGGCGGCCACUAUUAUUGGGCUUAAAGCGUCCGUAGCCGGGUUGGUUAGUCUCCCGGGAAAUCUGGCCGCUUAACGGUCAGACUUCCGGAGGAUACUGCUGGCCUAGGGACCGGGAGAGGCCGAGGGUAUUCCCGGGGUAGGGGUGAAAUCCUGUAAUCCCGGGAGGACCACCUGUGGCGAAGGCGCUCGGCUGGAACGGGUCCGACGGUGAGGGACGAAGGCCAGGGGAGCGAACCGGAUUAGAUACCCGGGUAGUCCUGGCUGUAAACGAUGCGGACUAGGUGUCGGGCAAGCUAAGGGCUUGUCCGGUGCCGCAGGGAAGCCGUUAAGUCCGCCGCCUGGGGAGUACGGCCGCAAGGUUGAAACUUAAAGGAAUUGGCGGG